This 274-nucleotide ribosomal RNA is filed under the name uncultured bacterium. RNAcentral's name for it is "partial 16S ribosomal RNA". It matches the Rfam family "Bacterial small subunit ribosomal RNA", at positions 523 to 796 of the family's 1533-position model. The record is from RNAcentral.
AUACGGAGGGGGCUAGCGUUGUUCGGAAUUAUUGGGCGUAAAGGGCGCGUAGGCGGCUUGGUAAGUCAGACGUGAAAUCCCGCGGCUCAACCGCGGAACUGCGUUUGAAACUGCCGGGCUUGAGUCCCGGCGAGGGUAGCGGAAUUCCCAGUGUAGCGGUGAAAUGCGUAGAUAUUGGGAGGAACACCAGUGGCGAAGGCGGCUACCUGGACGGGUACUGACGCUGAGGCGCGAAAGCGUGGGGAGCAAACAGGAUUAGAUACCCUAGUAGUCC